This 102-nucleotide non-coding RNA is filed under the name [Bacillus] enclensis. RNAcentral describes it as "Bacillus enclensis Guanine sequence". It matches the Rfam family "Purine riboswitch aptamer". Rfam says of the family: Riboswitches are metabolite binding domains within certain messenger RNAs that serve as precision sensors for their corresponding targets. Allosteric rearrangement of mRNA structure is mediated by ligand binding, and this results in modulation of gene expression. The record is from RNAcentral. Lineage: Bacteria; Bacillati; Bacillota; Bacilli; Caryophanales; Bacillaceae.
GUAAUCAAAUACACAUUCACUCAUAUAAUCGCGGGGAUAUGGCCUGCAAGUUUCUACCGGAUGACCGUAAAGCAUCCGACUAUGGGUGAGCGAUGGACUGCA